This is a long non-coding RNA of Mustela erminea (ermine), 734 nucleotides long. RefSeq lists it as uncharacterized. The transcript is spliced from 3 exons. NCBI's taxonomy places the organism in Eukaryota, Metazoa, Chordata, Mammalia, Carnivora, Mustelidae. The record is from RefSeq and is a predicted model, not a curated record.
UCCCAACUAAAACAAUGUCAUAGAUCAAAUGAGAAGAGUAGUAAUAACAUCAUAAGAGCUACUAACCUUGAGCCCUUUAUAUUGGACCGACCCUGGACAAGGAAUCUUACAUAAAUUAUCUCAUUUGGUCCUCACCACAGUGAAAAGACUACUAUUGUUCUCAUCUGAUAGAUGAGAAAACAGAGUCUGAGAGGUCAGAUUGUUUGCCCACAUGUAGCCAGUGCUCAACUACAAUUUAAAUAUGACCCCAAAGCUCAUGUUUCUAUAUGUUUCAUUAAAGCUGCAUUUCGGAAUAUCUAAAUGUAGCAUUUCAAGGAUGGGAGAAAUCACUUUCUGGAACAACUUCACAAAGAGGCUGGUAUUUGUGUUGAAAAUGAAGGGUGAGCUGAAUGACGGUGAAAUUGGAUGGGACAAUGCAGCAGGCACACAAGCCGGGAAGAUGGGGCAAUAGCCGUGUCUGUGGUUGAGCAUUCCCAGGAUCCCAUAAGCACAGAAUUUCAGUGGAUCCACGGUGCGUAGAGUUGACUGGGACUAGUAUGAGUGCGAAGUCAGCCUGCUGUGUCCACUACUACGAAUGUGGGGGUGCUGCCUAUUACGAGAGCCGCUCUUUUCAUUUGAAACAGCUUGCUUUGAUGCAGAAAGAAGGGACCCCACAUUGUCAUUUUGCACUGAGUCUUAAAAGUUCUGUAGCUGGCCUUGUCUGGAAGAGAUGAUAAGAAACCAUCUACUUACUC